AACGAACGCUGGCGGCAUGCCUAACACAUGCAAGUCGAACGAGACCUUCGGGUCUAGUGGCGCACGGGUGCGUAACGCGUGGGAACCUGCCCUUAGGUUCGGAAUAACUCCCCGAAAGGGGUGCUAAUACCGGAUAAUGUCUUCGGACCAAAGAUUUAUCGCCUUUGGAUGGGCCCGCGUUGGAUUAGCUAGUUGGUAGGGUAAAAGCCUACCAAGGCGACGAUCCAUAGCUGGUCUGAGAGGAAGAUCAGCCACACUGGGACUGAGACACGGCCCAGACUCCUACGGGAGGCAGCAGCGGGGAAUAUUGGACAAUGGGCGAAAGCCUGAUCCAGCAAUGCCGCGUGAGUGAUGAAGGCCUUAGGGUUGUAAAGCUCUUUUACCCGGGAUGAUAAUGACAGUACCGGGAGAAUAAGCUCCGGCUAACUCCGUG
Molecule: ribosomal RNA, 433 nt
Filed under: uncultured bacterium
Lineage: Bacteria
Description: partial 16S ribosomal RNA
Rfam family: Bacterial small subunit ribosomal RNA
Source: RNAcentral